AUAAUUCCAAUGAAUCUUACCUUGAAGGCAACAUCAGUUCUUGGAACAUGACAUUGACCCUAGCUUGUAUGUUCUUUCAUGUCACAACUAUAUAAAUUCUCCGACUUUUUAAAAAAAUCGCAUGGCCAUAAUCAAAACAAAUAUUCUCUAGAAUAACCAAAACAUCUGAGCCCAUGCAAAUUCCAAAUUGGAAUCACUUGUAAUGAAUCAAAAUCCAAUUAGCUAGCUAACUGUACAUAUGUAGUGGGGCUGCUCUGCAUGACUUCAUAGACUCAAGUGGCUAAAUUAGCACCAGCAAGUUGCAAAGAUACAGACUUAGCUUUUCUAAAAGAUACAUGUAUAUAUGUGUGU
RNAcentral lists this long non-coding RNA (351 nucleotides) under Carica papaya (papaya). RNAcentral's name for it is "long non-coding RNA (CPAP_LNC010829)". Lineage: Eukaryota; Viridiplantae; Streptophyta; Magnoliopsida; Brassicales; Caricaceae. The record is from RNAcentral.